Molecule: long non-coding RNA, 563 nt
Organism: Thalassophryne amazonica
Lineage: Eukaryota; Metazoa; Chordata; Actinopteri; Batrachoidiformes; Batrachoididae
Exons: 3
Source: RefSeq, a predicted model, not a curated record
CACAGAGAAGCUAAAAACAAUCCAGCAUAAAGGCAAACACUCCAAAGCAAAACUUGGAGUGAGUCAGGAUGAGGCGGACAGCUCUCGAGAGGCCAAUCGAAGGAGGAAUUUGAAAAGGCCAUGGAAUGACAAUGAAGUGAAUGCGGUUAUGAAACAUUUCAAAACCCAUAUUUUUAAGGGGCAUCUUGCAACAAUGAAAGAAUGUGAGCAGUGCAAGGUUGCUGAAGACCCAGUUCUUCAAGACAAAACUUUACAAAACAUAAGAGAUUUUGUCAGGAACCGUGGUUUGAAGGCUAAAAAAAAUUGCUGAAAUGUUCAUUGGUCAAGAAUGUAGAUUCACUGAUCUACCAUCUUGUUUGAGCCAAAAUUGUUAAUAGUGACUGUGUUGAUGACCCACAAAAAAUGGCUGAAUCAACUUAAUCUUUCUGUUUUCUCUUAUUAAGCUUAUGUAAUACAUCGAGUGUUCAAGAGAUGACAUUCAUUUUUAGUAACGUACUUUCAUUUGUUCCAUCAAGAGAACAUUUUAUUUACUUUUAGGAACAUUGCACUUUAAUUUGUUAUAG